GACGUAGGGCGCGAGCGUUGUCCGGAUUUAUUGGGCGUAAAGAGCUCGUAGGCGGCUUGUCGCGUCGUUCGUGAAAACCCGGGGCUCAACUCCGGGCUUGCGGGCGAUACGGGCAGGCUAGAGUUCGGUAGGGGGAGACUGGAAUUCCUGGUGUAGCGGUGAAAUGGCGCAGAUAUCAGGAGGAACACCGGUGGCGAAGGCGGGUCUCUGGGCCGAUGACUGACGCUGAGGAGCGAAAGCGUGGGGAGCGAACAGG
RNAcentral lists this ribosomal RNA (256 nucleotides) under uncultured bacterium. RNAcentral's name for it is "partial 16S ribosomal RNA". It matches the Rfam family "Bacterial small subunit ribosomal RNA", at positions 524 to 776 of the family's 1533-position model. The record is from RNAcentral.